Molecule: non-coding RNA, 29 nt
Filed under: Rattus norvegicus (Norway rat)
Lineage: Eukaryota; Metazoa; Chordata; Mammalia; Rodentia; Muridae
Source: RNAcentral
UGAGGAUUCUAGGCUUGUGCUCUUACUCU